AUGCUCGCUCAGCCCCUGACCACUUUGUUAUGCAAGAACACACCUUCCCAAUGGAUAGCAGCCACCCAGUCUGCUUUUGAGGCACUCAAAUUUGCCCUAGUGACGACACCCACUCUGGCUCUACCUGACUUCACUAAGCCAUUCAUAAUUGAGACAGAUGCUUGCGAAUACGGAGUCGGUGAUGUGCUCCAACAGGAAGGCCAUCCCAUCGCAUACCUCGGCAAAGCGUUGGACCCCCACACAAAAGGGCUAUCCAACUACAAAGAAGAAUACCUGGUAAUUGUCCUGGUUGUUGAGUAGUGGCGAUCGUACCUGCAGUUUGGCGAGUUUAUCAAAACUAACCAGUGCAUCUUAGUGCAUUUGGAAGAACAGCAGCUCCACACCCAUUGGCAACAGAAAGCGUUUACCAAACUCUUGGGACUGUAGUACCGCAUCUGCUACCGCAAAGGAUUUGAAAAUGUCGUCGCGGACGCUCUCUCUAGGCACACGGUAUCUUCUUGUGAACAGCUCUACGCCAUAUCUGUGUGCCAACCCGUGUGGUUACAGGAGAUCAUCAGAGGUUAUGACCAAGACCCAAAGACACAACAACUGGUCACCCAACUUGCCAUUGCACCAGUGGUUGGGGGUAAGUUCACCUUGCACAAGGGCAUUGUCCAUUUCAGUGGUUGGGUCUAG
RNAcentral lists this ribosomal RNA (675 nucleotides) under Triticum aestivum (bread wheat). RNAcentral's name for it is "partial small subunit ribosomal RNA". The record is from RNAcentral. Lineage: Eukaryota; Viridiplantae; Streptophyta; Magnoliopsida; Poales; Poaceae.